UUCAUUCCUAUAGGUGACAUUUAUAAUAAAGGCAAAAUAUUUAACUGCUGCAGGUAUAACAUGGUCAAUUCUUUAAUAUACAGAAGUGUUGCAAUAAUAGAUAUAUACGCCACGACAAAAUUCUUUAUAUAAAAAAGAUGCUACACGUUUGGUUAGCCACUGGGAAGAAUUGAAGAAAUACAAGUCUCAUCCUAGCUUGUCUAGAUCUCUACACGCUCUUCCUGCCAUAGUUAAAUAUGCUAGAUCGACAGCAACCAACAUAAAAUAUGACUUUUAUUUUCAAAAAUUCCGGAAAUGGUGUAUUCAGAACUAUUUUUCUUUUUUUACCGGCAUCCGUGUCUUCAGGGAAAAAAAGUAGUAUUACAUUUUCCCAGCUUAAGGUUCGCCUUUUGUGUACCCAAGGCAGGUGAAGGAAGUCAGCUUAGGAGCGCUGUGAUGUUAAGAAAAUACAUUGCGUCAGCAGGCCUAGGUAUUAUAGAGAAAUCAGACGAAUUUCUCUUUACUGCCAUAAACUUAAUGAAAACUUCGGGUGAGUACAAAGCUACUAAUAAGUCAAACCCCCUUUCGUAUACCAGAUGU
Mytilus californianus (California mussel) is the source of this 579-nucleotide long non-coding RNA. RefSeq lists it as uncharacterized. NCBI's taxonomy places the organism in Eukaryota, Metazoa, Mollusca, Bivalvia, Mytilida, Mytilidae. The transcript has 3 exons. The record is from RefSeq and is a predicted model, not a curated record.